This is a long non-coding RNA of Belonocnema kinseyi, 175 nucleotides long. RefSeq lists it as uncharacterized. Lineage: Eukaryota; Metazoa; Arthropoda; Insecta; Hymenoptera; Cynipidae. The transcript has 3 exons. The record is from RefSeq and is a predicted model, not a curated record.
AUGUCAAACAGAUGAAUAGGGGAGUUUGUAGGUAUGAUCAUUAUGUUCAUCCUAGACCUGGAAGAAAAUUACCAAAAGUUGAAAAUAAAUUUAUUCUGUGUGGCCGACAAUGCACACAUAAUUCAGCGAGAAGGUUUUGCAUAUUUGAUGGUUGGCAACAGUGGACAAUGCGGGA